RNAcentral lists this ribosomal RNA (496 nucleotides) under uncultured bacterium. RNAcentral's name for it is "partial 16S ribosomal RNA". It matches the Rfam family "Bacterial small subunit ribosomal RNA", at positions 29 to 507 of the family's 1533-position model. The record is from RNAcentral.
AUGAACGCUGGCGGCGUGCCUCAUCCCUGCCAGUCGAGCGAACAGAUGAGGAGCUUGCUCCUCUGACGUUAGCGGCGGACGGGUGAGUAACACGUGGAUAACCUACCUAUAAGACUGGGAUAACUUCGGGAAACCGGAGCUAAUACCGGAUAAUAUAUUGAACCGCAUGGUUCCAUAGUGAAAGACGGUUUUGCUGUCACUUAUAGAUGGAUCCGCGCCGCAUUAGCUAGUUGGUAAGGUAACGGCUUACCAAGGCAACGAUGCGUAGCCGACCUGAGAGGGUGAUCGGCCACACUGGAACUGAGACACGGUCCAGACUCCUACGGGAGGCAGCAGUAGGGAAUCUUCCGCAAUGGGCGAAAGCCUGACGGAGCAACGCCGCGUGAGUGAUGAAGGUCUUCGGAUCGUAAAACUCUGUUAUUAGGGAAGAACAAAUGUGUAAGUAACUAUGCACGUCUUGACGGUACCUAAUCAGAAAGCCACGGCUAACUACGUG